AUAAUCCUGUAGUCGAAAAUGUUGUCUCUCUUGAGUGGAUCCUGAGUACGACGGAGCACGUGAAAUUCCGUCGGAAUCUGGGAGGACCAUCUCCUAAGGCUAAAUACUCUCUAGUGACCGAUAGUGAACCAGUACCGUGAGGGAAAGGUGAAAAGCACCCCGGAAGGGGAGUGAAAUAGAACCUGAAACCGUGUGCUUACAAGUAGUCAGAGCCCGUUAAUGGGUGAUGGCGUGCCUUUUGUAGAAUGAACCGGCGAGUUACGAUUUGAUGCAAGGUUAAGCAGUAAAUAUGGAGCCGUAGCGAAAGCGAGUCUGAAUAGGGCGUUUAGUAUUUGGUCGUAGACCCGAAACCAGGUGAUCUACCCUUGGUCAGGUUGAAGUUCAGGUAACACUGAAUGGAGGACCGAACCGACUUACGUUGAAAAGUGAGCGGAUGAACUGAGGGUAGCGGAGAAAUUCCAAUCGAACCUGGAGAUAGCUGGUUCUCUCCGAAAUAGCUUUAGGGCUAGCCUCAAGUGAUGAUUAUUGGAGGUAGAGCACUGUUUGGACGAGGGGCCCCUCUCGGGUUACCGAAUUCAGACAAACUCCGAAUGCCAAUUAAUUUAACUUGGGAGUCAGAACAUGGGUGAUAAGGUCCGUGUUCGAAAGGGAAACAGCCCAGACCACCAGCUAAGGUCCCAAAAUAUAUGUUAAGUGGAAAAGGAUGUGGCGUUGCCCAGACAACUAGGAUGUUGGCUUAGAAGCAGCCAUCAUUUAAAGAGUGCGUAAUAGCUCACUAGUCGAGUGACACUGCGCCGAAAAUGUACCGGGGCUAAACAUAUUACCGAAGCUGUGGAUUGUCCUUUGGACAAUGGUAGGAGAGCGUUCUAAGGGCGUUGAAGCAUGAUCGUAAGGACAUGUGGAGCGCUUAGAAGUGAGAAUGCCGGUGUGAGUAGCGAAAGACGGGUGAGAAUCCCGUCCACCGAUUGACUAAGGUUUCCAGAGGAAGGCUCGUCCGCUCUGGGUUAGUCGGGUCCUAAGCUGAGGCCGACAGGCGUAGGCGAUGGAUAACAGGUUGAUAUUCCUGUACCACCUAUAAUCGUUUUAAUCGAUGGGGGGACGCAGUAGGAUAGGCGAAGCGUGCGAUUGGAUUGCACGUCUAAGCAGUAAGGCUGAGUAUUAGGCAAAUCCGGUACUCGUUAAGGCUGAGCUGUGAUGGGGAGAAGACAUUGUGUCUUCGAGUCGUUGAUUUCACACUGCCGAGAAAAGCCUCUAGAUAGAAAAUAGGUGCCCGUACCGCAAACCGACACAGGUAGUCAAGAUGAGAAUUCUAAGGUGAGCGAGCGAACUCUCGUUAAGGAACUCGGCAAAAUGACCCCGUAACUUCGGGAGAAGGGGUGCUCUUUAGGGUUAACGCCCAGAAGAGCCGCAGUGAAUAGGCCCAAGCGACUGUUUAUCAAAAACACAGGUCUCUGCUAAACCGUAAGGUGAUGUAUAGGGGCUGACGCCUGCCCGGUGCUGGAAGGUUAAGAGGAGUGGUUAGCUUCUGCGAAGCUACGAAUCGAAGCCCCAGUAAACGGCGGCCGUAACUAUAACGGUCCUAAGGUAGCGAAAUUCCUUGUCGGGUAAGUUCCGACCCGCACGAAAGGCGUAACGAUUUGGGCACUGUCUCAACGAGAGACUCGGUGAAAUCAUAGUACCUGUGAAGAUGCAGGUUACCCGCGACAGGACGGAAAGACCCCGUGGAGCUUUACUGUAGC
Molecule: ribosomal RNA, 1739 nt
Filed under: Staphylococcus aureus
Lineage: Bacteria; Bacillati; Bacillota; Bacilli; Caryophanales; Staphylococcaceae
Description: partial 23S ribosomal RNA
Rfam family: Bacterial large subunit ribosomal RNA
Source: RNAcentral